Molecule: ribosomal RNA, 497 nt
Filed under: uncultured bacterium
Lineage: Bacteria
Description: partial 16S ribosomal RNA
Rfam family: Bacterial small subunit ribosomal RNA
Source: RNAcentral
AAUGAACGCUGGCGGCGUGCCUAAUACAUGCAAGUCGAGCGAACAGACGAGGAGCUUGCUCCUCUGACGUUAGCGGCGGACGGGUGAGUAACACGUGGAUAACCUACCUAUAAGACUGGGAUAACUUCGGGAAACCGGAGCUAAUACCGGAUAAUAUAUUGAACCGCAUGGUUCAAUAGUGAAAGACGGUUUUGCUGUCACUUAUAGAUGGAUCCGCGCCGCAUUAGCUAGUUGGUAAGGUAACGGCUUACCAAGGCAACGAUGCGUAGCCGACCUGAGAGGGUGAUCGGCCACACGGGAACUGAGACACGGUCCAGACUCCUACGGGAGGCAGCAGUAGGGAAUCUUCCGCAAAGGGCGAAAGCUUGACGGAGCAACGCCGCGUGAGUGAUGAAGGUCUUCGGAUCGUAAAACUCUGUUAUUAGGGAAGAACAAAUGUGUAAGUAACUAUGCACGUCUUGACGGUACCUAAUCAGAAAGCCACGGCUAACUACGUG